Molecule: small nucleolar RNA, 132 nt
Filed under: Castor canadensis (American beaver)
Lineage: Eukaryota; Metazoa; Chordata; Mammalia; Rodentia; Castoridae
Description: Small nucleolar RNA SNORA51 (ENSCCNG00000018464.1)
Rfam family: Small nucleolar RNA SNORA51
About the family: ACA51 is a member of the H/ACA class of snoRNA that guide the sites of modification of uridines to pseudouridines.
Source: Rfam by way of RNAcentral
AGCCUUCUGGUACUUAUCACAGGCUGUGUUCUUACUCUGACUGUCUAGAAAGAGAAGGCAAAGUAAGCCAAGCCCAUAUACACCUCAGCCCAGGCUCUGUGCCUGGUCUGUAUUGUGAAUAGGGAGAUAUGG